UAGCCGUAAACGAUACUCGCUAGGUGUCGGCCACGGUGCGACCGUUGUCGGUGCCGUAGGGAAGCCGUGAAGCGAGCCACCUGGGAAGUACGGCCGCAAGGCUGAAACUUAAAGGAAUUGGCGGGGGAGCACCACAACGGGUGGAGCUUGCGGUUUAAUUGGAUUCAACGCCGGAAAUCUUACCGGGACCGACAGCAACAUGAAGGCCAGGCUGAAGACUUUGCCGGAUUACCUGAGAGGAGGUGCAUGGCGUAGUCGUGU
This 261-nucleotide ribosomal RNA is filed under the name uncultured archaeon. RNAcentral describes it as "partial 16S ribosomal RNA". It matches the Rfam family "Archaeal small subunit ribosomal RNA", at positions 748 to 1009 of the family's 1478-position model. The record is from RNAcentral.